Gallus gallus (chicken) is the source of this 730-nucleotide long non-coding RNA. The record is from Ensembl. Lineage: Eukaryota; Metazoa; Chordata; Aves; Galliformes; Phasianidae.
UCUACUUCAGCAUCAUAAAACUAGAGCUGGAGCAACCAAGCCCUUGUAAAGUCGUUCCUGUUGAGAUGUCCUGAUGCAGUAAGAUGUACAAGUGCAUCAUCUCCAGAAUCAAUAGCCUGAUGGACGAGGAGAGGAAGAAAAGCAAAGCCACCACCCAGCUCUUCAACCUCCUGCCUUGCGCUGUCAAUCCGGGAGAAGAAUCCCUUGGCCUGGUAUAGAAAUUUGUGCUAGGAAGAGAUGAAUUUCACUGUUAUUCCUCUGACAGUAGUGAUGAUGAUAAUGUUGCAGAAAAUCAGUUCCUCCAGCAUAUGGGAAUGUGAAAAAGACCAUAAUGAUUGGAUACAAGAGUGGGAUAUCUUCAGUACAAAUACAGAUGGCUAAGAUAGGCAAGGAGAAGGGACAGAAAAUGAAGAAACUCUUGGAGUGGAAGACAAGCAAACAUUAUAAUGUCUUCAAAGAGAAGAUAAGCUACUUCAGGAAACCUUUAGACAUUUACUUCCAAACGUGUCUUUUGAGAAAAGUGAAGCAAGCUUGGAAGGGAAGUAGGUCAUCAGUUUGGGCACUGCUAGAGCAAUCAGAAUUGUUGGAAUUGGUCUUUCAGUCUACAGUCCUUCCCUAUAAACAUGAGACAAGUCACCUAACCUGGCCCAUACCUCCAUCACUCUCUGCUCCUGUUCAGCCUCCAGGCAGAGGCCACUGCUAUGGAGUUCAGGAGAAUGUGAUCAUUGCA